CACGUAGGCACCAAGCGUUGUCCGGAUUCAUUGGGCGUAAAGAGCGCGCAGGCGGCUUGGUAAGUCGGAUGUGAAAUCCCGAGGCUCAACCUCGGGUCUGCAUCCGAUACUGCCCGGCUAGAGGUAGGUAGGGGAGAUCGGAAUUCCUGGUGUGAGCGGUGAAAUGACGCAGAUAUCAGGAGGAACACCGGUGGCGAAGGCGGAUCUCUGGGCCUUACCUGACGCUCAGGCGCGAAAGCUAGGGGAGCGAACUGG
This 255-nucleotide ribosomal RNA is filed under the name uncultured bacterium. RNAcentral describes it as "partial 16S ribosomal RNA". It matches the Rfam family "Bacterial small subunit ribosomal RNA", at positions 524 to 776 of the family's 1533-position model. The record is from RNAcentral.